This is a non-coding RNA of Musa acuminata subsp. malaccensis (wild Malaysian banana), 88 nucleotides long. NCBI's taxonomy places the organism in Eukaryota, Viridiplantae, Streptophyta, Magnoliopsida, Zingiberales, Musaceae. The record is from RefSeq and is a predicted model, not a curated record.
AGCUUUCAUCUUUUUUUAUAUUCCAACGUAAUGAAACUUACAUAGAAACAAACAUAUAUAAGUUGGUAGUAUAAAUUUUACAAAAGAU